RNAcentral lists this ribosomal RNA (253 nucleotides) under uncultured bacterium. Its description in RNAcentral is "partial 16S ribosomal RNA". It matches the Rfam family "Bacterial small subunit ribosomal RNA", at positions 524 to 776 of the family's 1533-position model. The record is from RNAcentral.
UACAGAGGGUGCGAGCGUUGUCCGGAAUCACUGGGCGUAAAGGGCGCGUAGGUGGCGCUGCAAGUCGGUGGUGAAAGCUCGAUGCUUAACAUCGAGUCGGCCAUCGAAACUGCAGGGCUGGAGCACUGUAGGGGCAGAUGGAAUUCCAGGUGUAGCGGUGAAAUGCGUAGAUAUCUGGAGGAACACCGGUGGCGAAGGCGGCAUCCUGGACCGGUAUUGACGCUGAGGCGCGAAAGCAUGGGGAGCGAACAGG